GACGAACGCUGGCGGCGUGCUUAACACAUGCAAGUCAUGGGGCCGCAAGGGCAACCGGCGAACGGGUGAGUAACACGUGGGCAACCUGCCCCUAGCUCUGGGAUAACUCCGGGAAACCGGUGCUAAUACCGGAUACGACCUCAAUGGGCAUCUUCUGAGGUGGAAAGAUUUAUUGGCUAGGGAUGGGCCCGCGGCCUAUCAGCUUGUUGGUGGGGUAACGGCCUACCAAGGCGACGACGGGGUAGCCGGCCUGAGAGGGCGACCGGCCACACUGGGACUGAGACACGGCCCAGACUCCUACGGGAGGCAGCAGUGGGGAAUAUUGCGCAAUGGGCGAAAGCCUGACGCAGCGACGCCGCGUGA
Molecule: ribosomal RNA, 363 nt
Filed under: uncultured bacterium
Lineage: Bacteria
Description: bacterial SSU rRNA
Rfam family: Bacterial small subunit ribosomal RNA
Source: RNAcentral